AACGCGAAGAACCUUACCAAGGCUUGACAUAUACAGGAAUACGGCAGAGAUGUCGUAGCCGCAAGGUCUGUAUACAGGUGGUGCAUGGUUGUCGUCAGCUCGUGUCGUGAGAUGUUGGGUUAAGUCCCGCAACGAGCGCAACCCUCGUCCUGUGUUACCAGCAUUUAGUUGGGGACUCACAGGAGACUGCCGGGGUCAACUCGGAGGAAGGUGGGGAUGACGUCAAAUCAUCAUGCCCCUUAUGUCUUGGGCUGCACGCAUGCUACAAUGGCUGGUACAAAGAGCUGCAAUACCGCAAGGUGGAGCGAAUCUCAAAAAGCCAGUCUCAGUUCGGAUUGGGGUCUGCAACUCGACCCCAUGAAGUCGGAGUUGCUAGUAAUCGUAGAUCAGCAACGCUACGGUGAAUACGUUCCCGGGUCUUGUACACACCG
This 431-nucleotide ribosomal RNA is filed under the name uncultured bacterium. RNAcentral's name for it is "bacterial SSU rRNA". It matches the Rfam family "Bacterial small subunit ribosomal RNA", at positions 958 to 1392 of the family's 1533-position model. The record is from RNAcentral.